GAUGAACGCUGGCGGCAUGCCUAACACAUGCAAGUCGAUCGGUAAGGCUCUUCGGAGUACACGAGAGGCGGACGGCUGGGUAACGCGUAGGAACACACCCUGCAGUGAGGGAUAAGACACCGAAAGGUGUUCUAAUACCGCAUACGGUCUUCGGAUUAAAGCAUUUAUGCGCUGAAGGAGUGGCCUGCGUCAUAUUAGAUAGUUGGUGAGGUAAUGGCUCACCAAGUCGAUGAUGUGUAGCUGGUCUGAGAGGAUGAUCAGCCAGACUGGAACUGAGACACGGUCCAGACUCCUACGGGAGGCAGCAGUGAGGAAUAUUUCACAAUGAGCGAAAGCUUGAUGGAGCAAUGACGCGUGCAGGAUGAAGGCCCUCGGGUUGUAAACUGCUUUUAUAAGAGAAGAUUAUGACGGUAACUUAUGAAUAAGGGACGGCUAACUACGUG
RNAcentral lists this ribosomal RNA (443 nucleotides) under uncultured bacterium. RNAcentral's name for it is "partial 16S ribosomal RNA". It matches the Rfam family "Bacterial small subunit ribosomal RNA", at positions 28 to 507 of the family's 1533-position model. The record is from RNAcentral.